CAGUCGCCACGGGAAUACGUAGGGUGCGAGCGUUAAUCGGAAUUACUGGGCGUAAAGCGUGCGCAGGCGGUUCGUUAAGACAGAUGUGAAAUCCCCGGGCUUAACCUGGGAACUGCAUUUGUGACUGGCGAGCUAGAGUAUGGCAGAGGGGGGUAGAAUUCCACGUGUAGCAGUGAAAUGCGUAGAGAUGUGGAGGAAUACCGAUGGCGAAGGCAGCCCCCUGGGCCAAUACUGACGCUCAUGCACGAAAGCGUGGGGAGCAAACAGGAUUAGAUACCCGCGUAGUCCCUGUCUCUUAUAC
Molecule: ribosomal RNA, 301 nt
Filed under: uncultured bacterium
Lineage: Bacteria
Description: partial 16S ribosomal RNA
Rfam family: Bacterial small subunit ribosomal RNA
Source: RNAcentral